RNAcentral lists this ribosomal RNA (1370 nucleotides) under unidentified marine bacterioplankton. RNAcentral describes it as "bacterial SSU rRNA". It matches the Rfam family "Bacterial small subunit ribosomal RNA", at positions 9 to 1371 of the family's 1533-position model. The record is from RNAcentral.
GAGUUUGAUCAUGGCUCAGAUUGAACGCUGGCGGCAUGCCUUACACAUGCAAGUCGAACGGCAGCAUGAUCUAGCUUGCUAGAUUGAUGGCGAGUGGCGAACGGGUGAGUAAUACAUCGGAACGUGCCCUGUAGUGGGGGAUAACUAGUCGAAAGAUUAGCUAAUACCGCAUACGACCUGAGGGUGAAAGUGGGGGACCGCAAGGCCUCAUGCUAUAGGAGCGGCCGAUGUCUGAUUAGCUAGUUGGUGAGGUAAAGGCUCACCAAGGCGACGAUCAGUAGCUGGUCUGAGAGGACGAUCAGCCACACUGGGACUGAGACACGGCCCAGACUCCUACGGGAGGCAGCAGUGGGGAAUUUUGGACAAUGGGCGAAAGCCUGAUCCAGCAAUGCCGCGUGUGUGAAGAAGGCCUUCGGGUUGUAAAGCACUUUUGUCCGGAAAGAAAUGGCUCUGGUUAAUACCUGGGGUCGAUGACGGUACCGGAAGAAUAAGGACCGGCUAACUACGUGCCAGCAGCCGCGGUAAUACGUAGGGUCCAAGCGUUAAUCGGAAUUACUGGGCGUAAAGCGUGCGCAGGCGGUUGUGCAAGACCGAUGUGAAAUCCCCGAGCUUAACUUGGGAAUUGCAUUGGUGACUGCACGGCUAGAGUGUGUCAGAGGGGGGUAGAAUUCCACGUGUAGCAGUGAAAUGCGUAGAGAUGUGGAGGAAUACCGAUGGCGAAGGGCAGCCCCCUGGGAUAACACUGACGCUCAUGCACGAAAAGCGUGGGGAGCAAACAGGAUUAGAUACCCUGGUAGUCCACGCCCUAAACGAUGUCAACUAGUUGUUGGGGAUUCAUUUCCUUAGUAACGUAGCUAACGCGUGAAGUUGACCGCCUGGGGAGUACGGUCGCAAGAUUAAAACUCAAAGGAAUUGACGGGGACCCGCACAAGCGGUGGAUGAUGUGGAUUAAUUCGAUGCAACGCGAAAAACCUUACCUACCCUUGACAUGCCACUAACGAAGCAGAGAUGCAUUAGGUGCUCGAAAGAGAAAGUGGACACAGGUGCUGCAUGGCUGUCGUCAGCUCGUGUCGUGAGAUGUUGGGUUAAGUCCCGCAACGAGCGCACCCCUUGUCCCUAGUUGCUACGAAAGGGCACUCUAGAGAGACUGCCGGUGACAAACCGGAGGAAGGUGGGGAUGACGUCAAGUCCUCAUGGCCCUUAUGGGUAGGGCUUCACACGUCAUACAAUGGUGCAUACAGAGGGUUGCCAAGCCGCGAGGUGGAGCUAAUCCCAGAAAAUGCAUCGUAGUCCGGAUCGUAGUCUGCAACUCGACUACGUGAAGCUGGAAUCGCUAGUAAUCGCGGAUCAGCAUGCCGCGGUGAAUACGU